AUGAAAUCUAACCGUGCCCCUGGACCGGACGACAUCCCUGCUGAGUUUUAUCAACAUUGCUGGGAGAUAGUUUCCCGGGAUCUUAUGCGCUUGUUUGAGUGGUUUUAUGAGGGUAAACUUGAUGUAAAGAGAUUGAAUUAUGGCAUUAUAACUCUGUUACCCAAGUCAUCAAAGGCCAACAGAAUUCAGCAGUAUAGACCUAUAUGUCUGUUAAGAUGUCCCUACAAGCUUCUCACCAAAGUCAUGGAAAUUAGAGCCAGCAUAUAUGCGCAUAAGUUGUUCAGCCUGCAACAAAAUGCCUUCAUAAAAGGGAGACACAUAGUUGAUGGCAUAUUAUCUUUGCAUGAGAUCUUGCAUUAUACACAUGUCAAAAAACAAGUGGGGAUUGUCCUUAAGCUUGAUUUUGAGAAAGCUUAUGACAAAGUUAAUUGGGACUUUUUACUUGAUUGUCAUGUGAAGCGUGGGUUUAACUCCAAAUGGUGUGGGUGGGUUUCUCAAAUUUUGAGGAAUGGCACAGUAAGUGUCAAGAUUAAUGACGAGGUGGGGCCUUACAUCCAAAGUGCUAAGGGGGUGAGGCAGGGAGAUCCUCACUCCCCUUUUCUGUUUAAUAUGGCAGCUGAGUGUUUGACUAAGAUGGUAUUGGCAGCUCAAAAAAAUGGUCUGGUUAAAGGGUUAGCUGCUGAUCUUAUUGAGGAUGGGGUGGGUAUCCUGCAAUACGCUGAUGACACGGUGCUUUGCUUUGAGCAUGAUAUCGACAAAGCUGUCAAUGUCAAGCUUUUACUAUAUCUCUUUGAACUUAUGUCAGGUUUGAAGAUCAACUUCGAGAAAAGUGAGAUCUUUAGUAUCGGAGGAGACAAUGAUAUUGAUUUAGUAUACUCUGAUAUGUUUGGUUGUCAAGUGGGCAUCUUACCUAUGAAGUAUCUUGGGGUCCCAGUAACAUACUCUGCCCUUAAGAAUGCGGACCUGGACUUCCUUGAUGGUAAACUGAUUAAAAAGCUGGAUGCCUGGGUGGCAUAUGCGGCAUCUUCAGGGGCUAGACUUACUUUGCUAAGCUCCAGCCUUGAUGGGAUUCCAUCAUACCUCAUGUCAAUGUUUCUUUUCAAUAAAACCUUUAUUGAAAAGAUGGAUAAACACCGUAGACGAUUCUUCUGGAGGAGGAAGAACAAGAAACAUGGUUAUCAUAUGGUUAAAUGGGCGAGAGUUUGUCGAUCUAAGAAGAUUGGAGGGUUGGGUGUUAAAGAUCUUCAUAAGCAGAAUGUAGCUUUGCUUGUCAAGUGGUGGUGGAAACUUGAAACUAGCGAUGGCUUGUGGCAGCGUAUAGUCAAAGCUAGAUACUUUAAUAACAAAACAAUAGCAAAUGUGCGGAGUCGUGUAUCUGAUUCCCCUUGCUGGAAAGCUAUCAUGAAGGUCAAAGACUCAUAUAUGGCUGGUAGGAAAAUCAUCAUCAAUAGUGGUAACCUGGCUAGGGUCUGGCAUGAUCCAUGGACAGAAAAUACCGUUCUGAAAGAUCGAUUCCCUGAUCUGUUUAACAUCUGCCAUGAUCAGGAGAGUACCCUUGAGUCCUGGGUGAAGAAGGGCUAUACUCCAGAUUUUAGACGACGAGUGUCAGGUGUGUUGGGAGAGCAAUGGACUUGGAUGGUUGAUGAGGUGAAAAAACUCCCAUUGAAUAAUGACCCAGAUAAUGUUUCAUGGGCUUUAAACAGUAAAGGGAAAUUUACGACAAAGUCAAUGUAUGGUUGGUUGGAAAGAAACCUGGCUGGUCCUAAUUAUAAGUGGAUUUGGAAAGCCCCAGUUCCAUUGAAGAUCAAAAUCUUUCUAUGGCAGUUGUUCCAGAAUGCGGUGCUAACAAGAGACAAUAUGCGCACCCGAAAAUGGCCUGGGAAUCCAAUAUGUUCUUUUUGCACAGACAUAGAGACCGCAAACCACCUAUUUUUUACCUGCCCACUCGCCCGCACAGUUUGGGGCACGCUGGGGAUGACUGUAGGGGUUUCUUGUUGCCCCCGAUCUCUUUGGCAAAGCUUUGCAUGA
Molecule: ribosomal RNA, 2028 nt
Filed under: Triticum aestivum (bread wheat)
Lineage: Eukaryota; Viridiplantae; Streptophyta; Magnoliopsida; Poales; Poaceae
Description: partial small subunit ribosomal RNA
Source: RNAcentral